RNAcentral lists this ribosomal RNA (253 nucleotides) under uncultured bacterium. RNAcentral's name for it is "partial 16S ribosomal RNA". It matches the Rfam family "Bacterial small subunit ribosomal RNA", at positions 524 to 776 of the family's 1533-position model. The record is from RNAcentral.
UACGGAGGGUGCAAGCGUUAUCCGGAUUCACUGGGUUUAAAGGGUGCGUAGGUGGGCAGGCAAGUCAGUGGUGAAAUCUCCGGGCUUAACCCGGAAACUGCCAUUGAUACUAUUUGUCUUGAAUACCGUGGAGGUCAGCGGAAUAUGUCAUGUAGCGGUGAAAUGCUUAGAUAUGACAUAGAACACCAAUUGCGAAGGCAGCUGGCUACACGAAUAUUGACACUGAUGCACGAAAGCGUGGGGAUCAAACAGG